Molecule: transfer RNA, 66 nt
Filed under: Chrysochares punctatus
Lineage: Eukaryota; Metazoa; Arthropoda; Insecta; Coleoptera; Chrysomelidae
Description: tRNA-Val
Source: RNAcentral
CAAGUUAGAGCUUGAACUUAAAAGCGUCUUAUUUACACUAAGUUGAUAAUUAAUAAUUUAACUUGA